RNAcentral lists this ribosomal RNA (814 nucleotides) under uncultured bacterium. Its description in RNAcentral is "bacterial SSU rRNA". It matches the Rfam family "Bacterial small subunit ribosomal RNA", at positions 535 to 1349 of the family's 1533-position model. The record is from RNAcentral.
CAAGCGUUAUCCGGAAUUAUUGGGCGUAAAGCGCGCGCAGGCGGUCUCUUAAGUCUGAUGUGAAAGCCCACGGCUCAACCGUGGAGGGUCAUUGGAAACUGGGAGACUUGAGUGCAGGAGAGAAAAGUGGAAUUCCACGUGUAGCGGUGAAAUGCGUAGAGAUGUGGAGGAACACCAGUGGCGAAGGCGGCUUUUUGGCCUGUAACUGACGCUGAGGCGCGAAAGCGUGGGGAGCAAACAGGAUUAGAUACCCUGGUAGUCCACGCCGUAAACGAUGAGUGCUAGGUGUUGGGGGGUUCCACCCUCAGUGCUGAAGUUAACACAUUAAGCACUCCGCCUGGGGAGUACGACCGCAAGGUUGAGACUCAAAGGAAUUGACGGGGGCCCGCACAAGCAGUGGAGCAUGUGGUUUAAUUCGAAGCAACGCGAAGAACCUUACCAGGUCUUGACAUCCUCUGACCACUCUAGAGAUAGAGCUUUCCCCUUCGGGGGACAGAGUGACAGGUGGUGCAUGGUUGUCGUCAGCUCGUGUCGUGAGAUGUUGGGUUAAGUCCCGCAACGAGCGCAACCCUUGACCUUAGUUGCCAGCAUUCAGUUGGGCACUCUAAGGUGACUGCCGGUGACAAACCGGAGGAAGGUGGGGACGACGUCAAAUCAUCAUGCCCCUUAUGACCUGGGCUACACACGUGCUACAAUGGAUGGUACAAAGGGUUGCGAAGCCGCGAGGCCAAGCCAAUCCCAAAAAGCCAUUCUCAGUUCGGAUUGUAGGCUGCAACUCGCCUACAUGAAGCCGGAAUUGCUAGUAAUCGCGGAU